RNAcentral lists this ribosomal RNA (744 nucleotides) under bacterium La-4-213. Its description in RNAcentral is "bacterial SSU rRNA". It matches the Rfam family "Bacterial small subunit ribosomal RNA", at positions 73 to 805 of the family's 1533-position model. The record is from RNAcentral.
UUAUCCUUCGGGAUAAGUUAGCGGCGGACGGGUGAGUAACACGUAGGUAACCUGCCUAUAAGACUGGGAUAACUAUCGGAAACGAUAGCUAAGACCGGAUAACUGGUUUUCUCGCAUGAGAGAAUUAUGAAACACGGAGCAAUCUGUGGCUUAUAGAUGGGCCUGCGGCGCAUUAGCUAGUUGGUAGGGUAACGGCCUACCAAGGCGACGAUGCGUAGCCGACCUGAGAGGGUGAACGGCCACACUGGGACUGAGACACGGCCCAGACUCCUACGGGAGGCAGCAGUAGGGAAUCUUCCGCAAUGGACGCAAGUCUGACGGAGCAACGCCGCGUGAGUGAUGAAGGUUUUCGGAUCGUAAAGCUCUGUUGCCCUAGACGAACAGCAAGGAGAGUAACUGCUCUUUGUGUGACGGUAUAGGAGAAGAAAGCCCCGGCUAACUACGUGCCAGCAGCCGCGGUAAUACGUAGGGGGCAAGCGUUGUCCGGAAUUAUUGGGCGUAAAGCGCGCGCAGGCGGUCAAUUAAGUUGGGUGUUUAAGCCCGGGGCUCAACCCCGGUUCGCAUCCAAAACUGGUUGACUUGAGUGUAGGAGAGGAAAGUGGAAUUCCACGUGUAGCGGUGAAAUGCGUAGAGAUGUGGAGGAACACCAGUGGCGAAGGCGACUUUCUGGCCUAUAACUGACGCUGAGGCGCGAAAGCGUGGGGGAGCAAACAGGAUUAGAUACCCUGGUAGUCCACGCCGUAA